AAUAAUUAAAAAAAAAGAGUAAAAGUGAAACUCCGAUUCUCCGAAAGAAGCGAUUAGAUAAGGACGGGCGGGCUUCUUCUCUGUGACAACCAGAAAUUGACACUAAAUGGCCACCACCAAACAAGUGAUUAUAGAUGCUCUCGAGGAGCUUACGAAAGAGGAGUUUUAUGAAUUCAGAUGGCAAUUGGUGAACGGAAUAGGACCAGACUCUCUUCCUCGAGGAAAACUUGAGGAAGCCAAUAGGCAUGAUGUUGUGGAUUACAUGGUGCAACGCUAUGGCAAUCCAAAAGCGGGAACGAUUGCAGUCGAAGCACUAUACAAGAUCAAACAAAAUGAACUUGCUGGAAAACUAAGGAGUCUUCAGGAAGCAACUCUCUCACUUGAUCUCUCAGUGCCGGUGUCAGAAGUAGAUCUGAAGUAGCCGGUUUAGCGAGUGGAGCUUCAUCCAGGCCAGCAGUUGAGUCUGCUCCAGCUCCAGCAGUGGACAUAAAUGCUUCUGGUGGAGGAACUGAUAAGGCCCCUGUUCUUAAUAGUGACGGCCCAGUACCAUUCAACGGAUACUUUAUCAAAUGAUGUAUUUGGUUUUCUUCUCAGAAAUUCAUGAUGUUGUCAUUUUCCUUACUCGGAAAUGUUUUAAUUUUAUUAAGAUUGUCAACACAACAUUCCAAAUGAUUAAACAAUUA
Xyrauchen texanus (razorback sucker) is the source of this 683-nucleotide long non-coding RNA. RefSeq lists it as uncharacterized. The record is from RefSeq and is a predicted model, not a curated record. Lineage: Eukaryota; Metazoa; Chordata; Actinopteri; Cypriniformes; Catostomidae. The transcript is spliced from 3 exons.